GGGCAGAGGGAAGGAGGUGCAUGUUGGCCACGUGCCACACGUUGAGCACAGGGCGUUUGGUGAAGCACGCAGGCUGUGCAGUGUGAUGCUGUCAGCAGGACCUGGGGACAACACUGGGCUGCCCUACCAGGCUGUUCUGGGUCUCAGUGCAGAGAUCCACCACAUGCUCUCAUUUCCCCAUGCCAAACCCCUUCUGACAUACUUUUCAAAGGAGCUGCAGAGAGCCAGAUGGGAAGCGGCCAGGGCUGCGCCUAGCUGCUCAAGAGAGACAAGCUUCCAACGAGACUGUGGAAAACAAUUUAUUUGACAAAUUUCGGAAGUGGACAACUUUUAGUAAAACACAGGCAUAAAAUAAAGGUAACUUCUGGAUACAAAAUAGUUUGGGGUGAUGGUGAUACCUGGAAAUCACUGUUGCUUUCUCAGAAGCGCAUGAAUUCAUAGCAAGAGCACCAAUGGAAGCACUGAACAAAAUCUCACCCAGCCAAACCACAUCUUCAGUGUGGUCCUGGAAACAAAAGUGUAAACACCAAGGGCCCACAUCACCCACGUAGUGAUAGCACCUUUGAUAUCUGCAGGGUGUGAUUCAAAGCCCCUGGCAGAUAAUGGCAGCCUUUCUAUUGACGUGGCUGUGCUGCGGAAUAGGCCCUAAUUCAAUAUAUAGUAGAGUUAGUAGGCCUAGGUGUCCAACUCCUAGAUAGUCUGGUAGAAACAAUACUCCCAGAGAGCUCACUGGGAAACAGACAGCUUGACACUUAUGAAAAGAAAAAAAAAA
Molecule: non-coding RNA, 772 nt
Organism: Coturnix japonica (Japanese quail)
Lineage: Eukaryota; Metazoa; Chordata; Aves; Galliformes; Phasianidae
Source: RefSeq, a predicted model, not a curated record